Molecule: ribosomal RNA, 1401 nt
Filed under: metagenome
Description: bacterial SSU rRNA
Rfam family: Bacterial small subunit ribosomal RNA
Source: RNAcentral
AGAGUUUGAUCCUGGCUCAGAACGAACGCUGGCGGCAGGCCUAACACAUGCAAGUCGAGCGCACCUUCGGGUGAGCGGCGGACGGGUUAGUAACGCGUGGGAAUGUACCCUUCUCUACGGAAUAGCCAUUGGAAACGAUGAGUAAUACCGUAUACGCCCUUCGGGGGAAAGAUUUAUCGGAGAAGGAUCAGCCCGCGUUAGAUUAGAUAGUUGGUGGGGUAAUGGCCUACCAAGUCUACGAUCUAUAGCUGGUUUUAGAGGAUGAUCAGCAACACUGGGACUGAGACACGGCCCAGACUCCUACGGGAGGCAGCAGUGGGGAAUCUUAGACAAUGGGCGCAAGCCUGAUCUAGCCAUGCCGCGUGAGUGAUGAAGGCCUUAGGGUCGUAAAGCUCUUUCGCCAGGGAUGAUAAUGACAGUACCUGGUAAAGAAACCCCGGCUAACUCCGUGCCAGCAGCCGCGGUAAUACGGAGGGGGUUAGCGUUGUUCGGAAUUACUGGGCGUAAAGCGCACGUAGGCGGAUUAGAAAGUAUGGGGUGAAAUCCCAGGGCUCAACCCUGGAACUGCCUCAUAAACUCCUAGUCUAGAGUUCGAGAGAGGUGAGUGGAAUUCCGAGUGUAGAGGUGAAAUUCGUAGAUAUUCGGAGGAACACCAGUGGCGAAGGCGGCUCACUGGCUCGAUACUGACGCUGAGGUGCGAAAGUGUGGGGAGCAAACAGGAUUAGAUACCCUGGUAGUCCACACCGUAAACGAUGAAUGCCAGUCGUCGGAUAGCAUGCUAUUCGGUGACACACCUAACGGAUUAAGCAUUCCGCCUGGGGAGUACGGUCGCAAGAUUAAAACUCAAAGGAAUUGACGGGGGCCCGCACAAGCGGUGGAGCAUGUGUUUAAUUCGAAGCAACGCGCAGAACCUUACCAACCCUUGACAUCCUGUGACAACUCGAGAGAUCGAGCGUUCCUUAGGGACACAGUGACAGGUGCUGCAUGGCUGUCGUCAGCUCGUGUCGUGAGAUGUUCGGUUAAGUCCGGCAACGAGCGCAACCCACAUCUUUAGUUGCCAGCAGUUCGGCUGGGCACUCUAAAGAAACUGCCCGUGAUAAGCGGGAGGAAGGUGUGGAUGACGUCAAGUCCUCAUGGCCCUUACGGGUUGGGCUACACACGUGCUACAAUGGCAAGUACAGUGGGUUAAUCCCCAAAACUUGUCUCAGUUCGGAUUGGGGUCUGCAACUCGACCCCAUGAAGUCGGAAUCGCUAGUAAUCGCGGAACAGCAUGCCGCGGUGAAUACGUUCCCGGGCCUUGUACACACCGCCCGUCACACCAUGGGAGUUGGUUCUACCCGACGGCCGUGCGCUAACUUCUUCGGAAGAGGCAGCGGACCACGGUAGGAUCAGCGACUGGGG